UACGAAGGGGGCUAGCGUUGCUCGGAAUCACUGGGCGUAAAGGGUGCGUAGGCGGGGCUUUAAGUCAGGGGUGAAAUCCUGGAGCUCAACUCCAGAACUGCCUUUGAUACUGAAGAUCUUGAGGUCGGGAGAGGUGAGUGGAACUGCGAGUGUAGAGGUGAAAUUCGUAGAUAUUCGCAAGAACACCAGUGGCGAAGGCGGCUCACUGGCCCGAUACUGACGCUGAGGCACGAAAGCGUGGGGAGCAAACAGG
This 253-nucleotide ribosomal RNA is filed under the name uncultured bacterium. Its description in RNAcentral is "partial 16S ribosomal RNA". It matches the Rfam family "Bacterial small subunit ribosomal RNA", at positions 524 to 776 of the family's 1533-position model. The record is from RNAcentral.